This 830-nucleotide ribosomal RNA is filed under the name uncultured bacterium. RNAcentral describes it as "bacterial SSU rRNA". It matches the Rfam family "Bacterial small subunit ribosomal RNA", at positions 8 to 853 of the family's 1533-position model. The record is from RNAcentral.
AGAGUUUGAUCAUGGCUCAGGAUGAACGCUGGCGGCGUGCCUAAUACAUGCAAGUCGAGCGAACCACUUCGGUGGUGAGCGGCGAACGGGUGAGUAACACGUAGGUGAUCUGCCCAUCAGACGGGGACAACGAUUGGAAACGAUCGCUAAUACCGGAUAGGACGAAAGUUUAAAGGUGCUUCUGGCACCGCUGAUGGAUGAGCCUGCGGCGCAUUAGCUAGUUGGUAGGGUAAAGGCCUACCAAGGCGACGAUGCGUAGCCGACCUGAGAGGGUGAACGGCCACACUGGGACUGAGACACGGCCCAGACUCCUACGGGAGGCAGCAGUAGGGAAUCUUCGGCAAUGGGCGAAAGCCUGACCGAGCAACGCCGCGUGAAUGAUGAAGGCCUUCGGGUUGUAAAAUUCUGUUAUAAGGGAAGAACGACUUUAGUAGGAAAUGGCUAGAGUGUGACGGUACCUUAUGAGAAAGCCACGGCUAACUACGUGCCAGCAGCCGCGGUAAUACGUAGGUGGCGAGCGUUAUCCGGAAUUAUUGGGCGUAAAGGGCGCGCAGGUGGUUGAUUAAGUCUGAUGUGAAAGCCCACGGCUUAACCGUGGAGGGUCAUUGGAAACUGGUCGACUUGAGUGCAGAAGAGGGAAGUGGAAUUCCAUGUGUAGCGGUGAAAUGCGUAGAGAUAUGGAGGAACACCAGUGGCGAAGGCGGCUUCCUGGUCUGUAACUGACACUGAGGCGCGAAAGCGUGGGGAGCAAACAGGAUUAGAUACCCUGGUAGUCCACGCCGUAAACGAUGAGUGCUAAGUGUUGGGGGUCGAACCUCAGUGCUGAAGUU